GUGUGUUCCAGGUAAAUCCGGUUCACUUUAACACUGAGGCGUGACGACGAGGCACUACGGUGCUGAAGCAACAAAUGCCCUGCUUCCAGGAAAAGCCUCUAAGCAUCAGGUAACAUCAAAUCGUACCCCAAACCGACACAGGUGGUCAGGUAGAGAAUACCAAGGCGCUUGAGAGAACUCGGGUGAAGGAACUAGGCAAAAUGGUGCCGUAACUUCGGGAGAAGGCACGCUGACACGUAGGUGAAGUGAUUUACUCAUGGAGCUGAAGUCAGUCGAAGAUACCAGCUGGCUGCAACUGUUUAUUAAAAACACAGCACUGUGCAAACACGAAAGUGGACGUAUACGGUGUGACGCCUGCCCGGUGCCGGAAGGUUAAUUGAUGGGGUCAGCGCAAGCGAAGCUCCUGAUCGAAGCCCCGGUAAACGGCGGCCGUAACUAUAACGGUCCUAAGGUAGCGAAAUUCCUUGUCGGGUAAGUUCCGACCUGCACGAAUGGCGUAAUGAUGGCCAGGCUGUCUCCACCCGAGACUCAGUGAAAUUGAACUCGCUGUGAAGAUGCAGUGUACCCGCGGCAAGACGGAAAGACCCCGUGAACCUUUACUAUAGCUUGACACUGAACAUUGAGCCUUGAUGUGUAGGAUAGGUGGGAGGCUUUGAAGUGUGGACGCCAGUCUGCAUGGAGCCGACCUUGAAAUACCACCCUUUAAUGUUUGAUGUUCUAACGUGGACCCGUUACCCGGGUUGCGGACAGUGUCUGGUGGGUAGUUUGACUGGGGCGGUCUCCUCCUAAAGAGUAACGGAGGAGCACGAAGGUUGGCUAAUCCUGGUCGGACAUCAGGAGGUUAGUGCAAUGGCAUAAGCCAGCUUGACUGCGAGCGUGACGGCGCGAGCAGGUGCGAAAGCAGGUCAUAGUGAUCCGGUGGUUCUGAAUGGAAGGGCCAUCGCUCAACGGAUAAAAGGUACUCCGGGGAUAACAGGCUGAUACCGCCCAAGAGUUCAUAUCGACGGCGGUGUUUGGCACCUCGAUGUCGGCUCAUCACAUCCUGGGGCUGAAGUAGGUCCCAAGGGUAUGGCUGUUCGCCAUUUAAAGUGGUACGCGAGCUGGGUUUAGAACGUCGUGAGACAGUUCGGUCCCUAUCUGCCGUGGGCGCUGGAGAACUGAGGGGGGCUGCUCCUAGUACGAGAGGACCGGAGUGGACGCAUCACUGGUGUUCGGGUUGUCAUGCCAAUGGCACUGCCCGGUAGCUAAAUGCGGAAGAGAUAAGUGCUGAAAGCAUCUAAGCACGAAACUUGCCCCGAGAUGAGUUCUCCCUGAGACUUAGAGUCUCCUGAAGGAACGUUGAAGACGACGACGUUGAUAGGCCGGGUGUGUAAGCGCAGCGAUGCGUUGAGCUAACCGGUACUAAUGAACCGUGAGGCUUAACCUUACAACGCCGAAG
This 1438-nucleotide ribosomal RNA is filed under the name Salmonella enterica. RNAcentral's name for it is "partial 23S ribosomal RNA". It matches the Rfam family "Bacterial large subunit ribosomal RNA", at positions 1525 to 2925 of the family's 2925-position model. Lineage: Bacteria; Pseudomonadati; Pseudomonadota; Gammaproteobacteria; Enterobacterales; Enterobacteriaceae. RNAcentral also lists the same sequence under 1 other name. The record is from RNAcentral.